GAUAAACGCUAGCGGCAGGCUUAACACAUGCAAGUCGAGGGGCAGCAUAGAUUGUAGCAAUACAAUUGGUGGCGACCGGCGCACGGCUGCGUAACGCGUAUGCAACCUACCCGUCACAGGGGGAUAAUCCGGAGAAAUCUGGUCUAAUACCCCAUAACAUAUGGAUCGGCAUCGGUUCAUGUUGAAAUUUUCGGAGGUGACGGAUGGGCAUGCGUAGCAUUAGCUUGUUGGUGAGGUAACGGCUCACCAAGGCGACGAUGCUUAGGGGGACUGAGAGGUUUUCCCCCACACUGGUACUGAGACACGGACCAGACUCCUACGGGAGGCAGCAGUGAGGAAUAUUGGUCAAUGGGCGCAAGCCUGAACCAGCCAUGCCGCGUGCAGGAUGACGGCUCUAUGAGUUGUAAACUGCUUUUGUAUGAGGGUAAAGUGGGUUACGUGUAACCUUUUGAAAGUAUCGUACGAAUAAGGAUCGGCUAACUCCGUGCCAGCCGCCGCCGUAA
RNAcentral lists this ribosomal RNA (503 nucleotides) under uncultured bacterium. RNAcentral's name for it is "partial 16S ribosomal RNA". It matches the Rfam family "Bacterial small subunit ribosomal RNA", at positions 28 to 523 of the family's 1533-position model. The record is from RNAcentral.